This 1675-nucleotide long non-coding RNA is filed under the name Orbicella faveolata. Its description in RNAcentral is "uncharacterized LOC110059414". The record is from RNAcentral. Lineage: Eukaryota; Metazoa; Cnidaria; Anthozoa; Scleractinia; Merulinidae.
ACAAGAUGAAAGACGUAGAAUGGCUAUACCUGUCUUAGGAGGUGAAUAAUUUUAUCUCAGAUGAAUUAUUUGUCUUUGUUUAAUCAUAACGAGAUCUUUUAGAGCAAUGUAUCUGGAAUGAGACAACGCAUGGCAUUAAGCUUACACGUGUAAACUGCUAUAUGUUUUGAAAAUUAAUUUGUUUGAGAUGCUUUUACUUGUAAUGUACAUAUUUCUAUCAGUCAAUUUGAAACAACCACAUCCCCUCCCCAUGCUCAAAGGGGAGGGGGUACUCCGAGAAAAAUUGGGUGGGGGCACUUCCAAAAAUCCUUACCCUAUUUAAGAACAAAAUCAACGUUUUUCUUGCCAUGAUUUUUCUUAUCCUAUUAAUGCCCUGACCAAAAAUUUGAUACCCUAUUUAACUACUGACUCUUAAGGUGGCCGAACACAUUUUCUGCAAUUUCCACUAUAAACAACAACAUUUGAACAUUUUGGACAUUUGUGUGCUCUUGCUAAUGCCAUUCAUUCUUGCUAAUGCCAUUCACCCCCUCCCCUUUAUAUGCCUGCUGCGCAGGCUUGUGGUGAACUAUAAUAUCUGAUGUUUUGUUGUGUGCGUUGUCUGGAGUCACCAACCGCCAAAUGUAUUAUUUCUUAUCCAAAAUUAACAUCUGCUUAAAAUGCUUGUUUACAGCCUGAUAUGUAUUUUCAAGUACAGUAACUGAUCUUAGAGACCUAAAGACAGUUUUACAGGAAAUUAGACCUACAGCCAAACAUUUCUGGAUCAAUGUUGGAGAUUUUGAUCACGGUGUGAAAGGUCAAAAUAUCAGGGAAUAAGCUAGAUUUGCAAUAAAAACUUAGAUUGAGGGAUACUUUUAACUGGUAAAAUUUUUUCGACAGAUACAUGUAAACCAUGUACUGCAAAAUUGGUCCACGAAAUUGAACUAAAUUUUGACAUGACACAACCUUGUUGAAGCAUAUAAUUUUGAAAAUUUGAUGACAAUACAGGUUUAAAUUACAUACAAAUCUGACAGUCCUGAAUAGCUGCUAAAAGAUGAUAUUUUAGUACUAUGGGUUAGCUUUUCCAGCCACACUUGUUAUUUUGGCUUGCUAGCAUUUGUAAAAAGUGUAAUUUUAGGGUUGCGUUUUGCUUUUUGCAGGACAAAAUAUGUACAUGUAAGGCUGUCUCAGCAAGAAAAUAAUAUAUGGGUAGUCCAUUCAAGUAGUCCAUGGUCCAGGUCCAUCGGGGAAGUCCAUGGACUAGGGGUCAGCAAAAUGUACCAUUACAUGGUCAGUAUAAAUACAGACUGCAGACUGCGGACUACGGGCUAUGGACUUAGGUAUAACACAUGGACUAAUGGAUCAGGUGAUAAAAAGAACAAGCAAAUCCAGUAAUUCAAGUUCUUGCUUCAUCAAGCAUGUGAUGGCGCUGUCCAAGAAGAAAAGUAAACUGCUUGAAAACCAUACCCUUCACAGCGGCACAUACCUAUAUAGCCCAUAUAUGGCAGUGCCCCCCCGGGGCGAUCAACCGAUAGUUUUUAUGUAUGGGCCACAUAUUUGUUUCCUGUUUGACUAUGAAAAAUUGUUUGACACGUAGAUAUAAACUUCACAUUAUGUUUACUUAACUUUCAGGUAAAGGAACAACACCUCGCACCUUUCCAGCGUUCCUGAAAAAGGGGAGACCUAACCUCAUGCUUGU